Molecule: ribosomal RNA, 391 nt
Filed under: uncultured soil bacterium
Lineage: Bacteria
Description: bacterial SSU rRNA
Rfam family: Bacterial small subunit ribosomal RNA
Source: RNAcentral
GGAUUGAACGCUGGCGGCAUGCCUAACACAUGCAAGUCGAACGGUAACAGGCCCGCAAGGGUGCUGACGAGUGGCGGACGGGUGAGGAAUACAUAGGAAUCUGCCCUAUUGUGGGGGAUAACGUAGGGAAACUUCGCUAGUACCGCAUAAGACCGGAAGGUGAAAGUGGGGGACCGCAAGGCCUCGACGCGAUUGGAUGAGCCUAUGUCGGAUUAGCUAGUUGGUAGGUAAAGCCUACCAAGGCGACGAUCCGUAGCUGGUCUGAGAGAUGAUCAGCCACACUGGACUGAGACAGGCCCAGACUCCACGGGACGCAGCAGUAGGGGAAUAUUGGACAAGUGGGGGCAACCCUGAUCCGAGCAAUGACCGCGUGGUACGUGGAAAGAACGGG